Molecule: non-coding RNA, 1415 nt
Filed under: Pongo abelii (Sumatran orangutan)
Lineage: Eukaryota; Metazoa; Chordata; Mammalia; Primates; Hominidae
Source: RNAcentral
CUUUCCUUUCGGCUGUGGGUCAGAGUCUACACUUCACUAAACCUGGGAUGGAGGCGUGGAGGACUUGCUUCGCGGCGUUUGCGUCCUCGCAGGCGCCUCGCAGGGCUUCCUGCCCUCACGGCGGAGUAGUAGCUUUGGCGAAAAGCAGUACGAGUUCUGCAGUUUUUCCAAGCGCUUUUAGGGUGUAAUCGUCCCAGGUUUCUAAGCCAAGGCCCGGAGAGAUUGACCCCCUCGCAACAGCUUGUGUGUCCUUGCAGCGCCGCGGGUGCCACUUGGUCUCUGCCCCAACGCUGCCUCGGCUUCUUCGGUUCCCGCCAGCGGGAACGACCGUCCCCACUUUCAGUUGAAACUCAUUUGUCCUUCCGGAUCCAGCUCAGAGAUCUCUUUGUGAUGCCCUCCUGGAACUUCCCCCCAGUAAUCCUUCCUUUGUAUUCCCGUGGCUCUUUGAUAAUAAUGGUUGGAGUCCUGAACCCGACCCUUUGUAUCGGACCGUGUUUGUCAUUUCCAGUGCUUUAUGAAGGCCUUGAAAGCAAGGUUCAGCCGUCUGUAUUGGUCAUCUUCCCGUUGCCAGUGCCUACGAAGGGCUUGACCCAUUCAUUGUUAGACGCUCAGUAAGUGUGUAUUGAGGCAGCCCUCUGUGCUGCUCCAGGGCUCUUUCCACUAAAUCAUGAGUAUGUUGGUUUACCAGAUGGAAUGAGUAGCCUCUUCUUUGGAUACAUAAACACCUGAUGGAUAUUGUGGGCCACUGUGGAGGGAGAUGAACAUAUGGGAUCCCUGACCUGUGGUUACUUGAAAACAGUUGACAUUUAGAGAGAGAGGCUGAAUUCUUGGGCUUCCCGUAGCCCCCAUCCUGAGUGUGCCAACAGGGACUAGAAGCAUCUCUAGUCUGCAAAGCCAGGAACAAGUGAUACUGUGUCCAAUUUUUCCAAUAUUGUUAUACUCAUGAAUAGAGAUUAAUGAAAUUGAAGAGCAUAUUCAAGAGAAAGACUAAAGGAGAGGUCGUCUGCCCUGUGGACAGGCAGCUUGAGUGGUGCUUGAAAAAAUGUACAUGAAAUUGCUUCUUAAAAAAUAUUCACGCCUGUAAUCCCAGCUCUUUUGGGAGGCCGAGGCGGGCAGAUUACUAGGUCAGGAGAUCGAGACCAUCCUGGCGAACACGGUGAAACCCCGUCUCUACUAAAAAUACAAAAACAAAAUUAGCCGGGUGUGGCGGCGGGCGCCUGUAGUCCCAGCUAUUGGGGAGGCUGAGGCAGGAGAAUGGCGUGAACCCGGGAGGCGGAGCUUGCAGUGAACGGAGAUGGCGCCACUGCAAUCCAGCCUGGGCGACAGAGCGAGACUCCGUCUCAAAAAAAAAAAUUUAUGUAUAUAUGUAUAUAUCCAUCAGAGACAUGUAAAGGAUUAAUGUACGAUACACAAAG